Molecule: non-coding RNA, 113 nt
Organism: Acanthosepion pharaonis
Lineage: Eukaryota; Metazoa; Mollusca; Cephalopoda; Sepiida; Sepiidae
Source: the annotation of a GenBank genome assembly
UUACGCCCAUAUCAUAUUGAAAAAUCGGUUCUCGUACGAUCAACGAAGUUAAGCAACAUUGAGCCUGGUCAGUAACUAGAUGGGCAACCGCUUGGGAAUACCAAAUACUGUAA